This 217-nucleotide ribosomal RNA is filed under the name Acinetobacter baumannii. RNAcentral describes it as "partial 16S ribosomal RNA". It matches the Rfam family "Bacterial small subunit ribosomal RNA", at positions 1 to 218 of the family's 1533-position model. The record is from RNAcentral. Lineage: Bacteria; Pseudomonadati; Pseudomonadota; Gammaproteobacteria; Moraxellales; Moraxellaceae.
UUUAACUGAAGAGUUUGAUCAUGGCUCAGAUUGAACGCUGGCGGCAGGCUUAACACAUGCAAGUCGAGCGGGGGAAGGUAGCUUGCUACCGGACCUAGCGGCGGACGGGUGAGUAAUGCUUAGGAAUCUGCCUAUUAGUGGGGGACAACAUCUCGAAAGGGAUGCUAAUACCGCAUACGUCCUACGGGAGAAAGCAGGGGAUCUUCGGACCUUGCGC